This 251-nucleotide ribosomal RNA is filed under the name uncultured prokaryote. RNAcentral's name for it is "partial 16S ribosomal RNA". It matches the Rfam family "Bacterial small subunit ribosomal RNA", at positions 525 to 775 of the family's 1533-position model. The record is from RNAcentral.
ACAGAGGGUGCAAGCGUUAAUCGGAGUUACUGGGCGUAAAGGGCGCGUAGGCGGUUAUAAAAGUGAGAUGUGAAAUACCUGGGCUUAACCUGGGAAUGGCAUCUUAGACUAUGUAGCAGGAGUACAGUAGAGGGUGGUGGAAUUUCCGGUGUAGCGGUGAAAUGCGUAGAGAUCGGAAGGAACACCAGUGGCGAAGGCGACCACCUGGACUGAUACUGACGCUGAGGCGCGAAAGCGUGGGGAGCAAACAG